AAAUCAAAACAUUCGAGUUUCAGCGAUAAAGAUGUAUGAUAU
This 42-nucleotide non-coding RNA is filed under the name Trypanosoma brucei brucei. Lineage: Eukaryota; Euglenozoa; Kinetoplastea; Trypanosomatida; Trypanosomatidae. The record is from RNAcentral.